Molecule: ribosomal RNA, 395 nt
Filed under: uncultured bacterium
Lineage: Bacteria
Description: partial 16S ribosomal RNA
Rfam family: Bacterial small subunit ribosomal RNA
Source: RNAcentral
CUACGUAGGUGGCAAGCGUUGUCCGGAAUUAUUGGGCGUAAAGCGUGCGCAGGCGGUUUUGUAAGCCCGACGUGAAAGCCCCGGGCUCAACCUGGGAACGGCCUUUGUGACUGCAAAGCUAGAGUACGGCAGAGGGGGGUGGAAUUCCGGGGGUAGCCGUGAACUGCGGAGAUCUGCGGAGGACACCCGAGGGCGAAGGCAAUCCCCUGGUGCUGUACGGACGCUCAUGCGCGAAAGCGUGGGGAGCAAACAGGAUGAGAUACCCUGGUAGUCCACGGCCUAAACGAUGUCAACUGGUUGUGGGGUCUUCAUUGACUCAGUAACGAAGCGAACGCGUGAAGUUGACCGCCUGGGGAGUACGGCCGCAAGGUUGAGACGUAAAGGAAUUGGCGGGG